GACGAACGCUGGCGGCGUGCUUAACACAUGCAAGUCGAACGGAAAGGCCCUGCGUUUGUGGGGUUCUCGAGUGGCGAACGGGGGAGUAACACGUGAGUAACCUGCCCUUGACUUUGGGAUAACUUCAGGAAACUGGGGCUAAUACCGGAUAGGAUCUCCUGCUGCAUGGUGGGGGUUGGAAAGUUUCGGCGGUUGGGGAUGGACUCGCGGCUUAUCAGCUUGUUGGUGGGGUAGUUGCUUACCAAGGCUUUGACGGGUAGCCGGCCUGAGAGGGUGAACGGCCACAUUGGGACUGAGGUAGGGACCAGACUGCUACGGGAGGCAGCAGUGGGGAAUAUUGCACAAUGGGCGGAAGCCUGAUGCAGAAACGCCGCGUGCGGGAUGACGGCCUUCGGGUUGUAAACCGCUUUCGCCUGUGACGAAGCGUGAGUGACGGUAAUGGGUAAAGAAGCACCGGCUAACUACGUG
This 468-nucleotide ribosomal RNA is filed under the name uncultured bacterium. RNAcentral describes it as "partial 16S ribosomal RNA". It matches the Rfam family "Bacterial small subunit ribosomal RNA", at positions 28 to 507 of the family's 1533-position model. The record is from RNAcentral.